Molecule: long non-coding RNA, 376 nt
Organism: Dreissena polymorpha
Lineage: Eukaryota; Metazoa; Mollusca; Bivalvia; Myida; Dreissenidae
Exons: 3
Source: RefSeq, a predicted model, not a curated record
GCAAAUAACGGCUAGCUGAACCAGGCAUCAUGGCCAGACAAUAACAAAUGCAUUUUUGAACGCUUACAAGGUUUUUAUAGAAAGGUCAUUAUGAUAUAAAUGUUCUAGCUGUGUGGGGAUCCAUCGUCACUGGUAACGGAGCUUCACAUCUGAAGGAAGUGAUGGCUACUAUGGAUGCCCCAAGUUUGUCCCAGCCUGCUUUCACGAGAAUUGAAGCUCAAGUUGGUGCUUCGUGGGAAUGUAUUUCUCAAGAUGAAUUACUAGCAGCAGGUGCUGAAGAACGAAGGCUGGCCAUAGAAGACAACUGUUUCCACCAAGGGGUUCCUGCGAUUACAGUGGUAGCAGAUGGAGGUUGGAGCAAGAGAACACACAAACA